AUCCAACUGACGAGUCCCAAACAGGACGAAUCGCGCGUCCUAGUU
RNAcentral lists this non-coding RNA (45 nucleotides) under Schistosoma haematobium. Lineage: Eukaryota; Metazoa; Platyhelminthes; Trematoda; Strigeidida; Schistosomatidae. The record is from RNAcentral.